AUUGAACGCUGGCGGCAUGCUUUGCACAUGCAAGUCGAACGGCAGCGCGGGGCAACCUGGCGGCGAGUGGCGAACGGGUGAGUAAUACAUCGGAACGUACCCAGAAGUGGGGGAUAACGUAGCGAAAGUUACGCUAAUACCGCAUACGUUCUACGGAAGAAAGUGGGGGAUCUUCGGACCUCAUGCUUUUGGAGCGGCCGAUGUCUGAUUAGCUAGUUGGUGAGGUAAAGGCUCACCAAGGCGACGAUCAGUAGCUGGUCUGAGAGGACGACCAGCCACACUGGGACUGAGACACGGGCCACACUUCUACGGGAGGCAGCAGUGGAGAAUCUUGGACGAUGGGCGCAAGCCUGAUCCAGCAAUGCCGCGUGAGUGAAGAAGGCCUUCGGGUUGUAAAGCUCUUUUGUCAGGGAUGAAACGGCUGAGGAUAAUACCUUCGGCUAAUGACGGCACCUGAGGAAUAAGCACCGGCUAACUACGUGCCAGCCGCCGCCGUAA
This 498-nucleotide ribosomal RNA is filed under the name uncultured bacterium. Its description in RNAcentral is "partial 16S ribosomal RNA". It matches the Rfam family "Bacterial small subunit ribosomal RNA", at positions 30 to 523 of the family's 1533-position model. The record is from RNAcentral.